GCGUGUGUGAUGAAGGCCUUAGGGUUGUAAAGCACUUUCAGAUGGGAAGAUAAUGACGGUACCAUCAGAAGAAGCUCCGGCUAACUCCGUGCCAGCAGCCGCGGUAAUACGGAGGGAGCUAGCGUUGUUCGGAAUUACUGGGCGUAAAGCGCUCGUAGGCGGUUAUACAAGUUGGGGGUGAAAGCCCGGGGCUUAACCUCGGAACUGCCCUCAAAACUGUAUGACUAGAGUCCUGGAGAGGUAAGUGGAAUACCGAGUGUAGAGGUGGAAUUCGU
Molecule: ribosomal RNA, 275 nt
Filed under: uncultured bacterium
Lineage: Bacteria
Description: partial 16S ribosomal RNA
Rfam family: Bacterial small subunit ribosomal RNA
Source: RNAcentral